This 2093-nucleotide long non-coding RNA is filed under the name Eptatretus burgeri (inshore hagfish). Its description in RNAcentral is "lncRNA (ENSEBUG00000017311.1)". The record is from RNAcentral. Lineage: Eukaryota; Metazoa; Chordata; Myxini; Myxiniformes; Myxinidae.
AUGUCGGUAGGCCUCUCCUGCCUCCCUCUGAUCCUCUUCGUCCUUCCUCUCCCGUCUCUCAUCCUCACCUUCCUCUCCCAUCUCUCAUCCUCACCUUCCUCUCCCAUUCUCUCAUCCUCACCUUCCUCUCCCGUCUCUCAUCCUCACCUUCCUCUCCCGUCUCUCAUCCUCACCUUCCUCUCCCAUUCUCUCAUCCUCACCUUCCUGUCCCAUUCUCUCAUCCUCACCUUCCUCUCCCAUUCUCUCAUCCUCACCUUCCUCUCCCGUCUCUCAUCCUCACCUUCCUCUCCAUUCUCUCAUCCUCACCUUCCUCUCCCACUUCUCGUCCUCACUGACCUCUCCUGCCCAUGCCUUCCUCACCCAUCUAUCACCCUCACCUCCCUCUCGCCCGCAAAUCCAUCGUCAUUUCCAGAUUCCCAUUCCCAUUUCCUUCUGUUUUCUAUUCCCAUUUCGCGAUGGAGUAAAAGUCGGAAACAAAACGUCCUCCCUCACGCAGGUUAUCCCACAAAUUAACCACAUUCUGUUUUGUUUGCAACUACCCAAUUUGGUGCGUGCACGUUUGUUGAACGAUGCAUGUCCUACUCUUUCUUGUCUUCCUUAAUUUCUACAAAAAAAAUGUUUAUUAAACAAAUUGAAUAACAUUUCCGAAGUGUUUUGCAAACUGCCGACCACAGCACCUCAUUGCGUUGUUAUAAUAUAUCGUAUCGUGUCGUAUGGUGUUUGACGCGAGUUCUUUUGUCGAACAAAGAUGCGGCGUCCAAAUGUGCCGAGACGGCUCACUCGGAGACCGUUUCCUCCCCGGCACGAGAAAGAACCCCGGUUUGAGUACCGCCGCGUCCCAGGGAGUUGGCUGGCACGCUGUUCAUGGAAGGUCCCCUUUCCUGCUUUAACUAUUGUUCCUUUCCGGAAUAAUUAAAUAAACAACGAUGCCCUUUCUUUGCAGAAAGCUCAUAUAUGUAUUGUUAUAUGAUGUAUGACUUACAAACAUGUACAAAUUACAUUUGAUUGUUAUAUUGCCCCCCCCCCCCCCCCCCCCCCCCCCCCCCCCCCCCCCCCCCCCCCCCCCACCCUUCCUCUCCCAACCCAAGUCCUUUGGAUUUUGUAUAACGUAUUCGAAAAUAACUAAAAGUUUGAACAAUGCUGUGAAGUUUUCUCGUUUGUGCUUUGAAAAGAGGUUUUUGUACCUGCAAACAUCGGUGGAAGACCCACUUGUCCCGAUCUUCAUUCCCAUUGAGACUUGAGAUCGGCGGUGACGUUGGGACUGCGGUCUGUGACAGGGCCAGGGUUAACCGGGUAAGGUAUGGGGCAUCCCUCCAUCCACCCAUUGGGACCAUACUCUGUGCAUAACGUUGGUGCUGCCUAAGCUGUCUCCUUGGCUAUUGGGUACAAUCCUGGACGGGUCGCCACUCCGACGCAGGAAACCAGCAAGCUGACACUCAUUUUGGCGACCUCGGAAGGAUGACAGGCUGAGUCAACCCCACCUGGUAUUAAUUCAACAGCCGAUUGGGAUUUUAACUCAGGAUCCGAGGAUCCCAAGUCCACCACCCAAACCAUUAAGCCAACACAAGGCAUUAUGGGCAUCGAUGAGUUGAAAUUUAACUCAGAACGUGCUUUAGUUCACCCAGGAACCAUAACCAUGGGACGACUCGCUGAAGUUCUUGCGAGGGCGGUUUCCGUUUACCUUGACGAAGGGUAGUGUCGUUCAAGGUAGUGAUUUGCGAUGGGGUGUCAAGCAUAGUCACAAUCCCAGAAUGAUUUGUGGGUUGGCAGGAUAGCCAAAAGGUAAGCAUACUCGCAUCUGAGUUGUCUAGCCAGGGUUUGAAUCUCGACCCCACUAUAAACCUCCAUCCUGAUGUCUCGCAGGCAGGGUAAUGCAUCGAUGUGUGCGUCAUCCAUCGGAUGGACGUUAACCUGUACAUCUGCCUGCAUUAGUUGGUGGACAUUAAACAUUCUACGGUAUCAAUUGUGAACAGUCGGUGAGUCAUCGCCGGUUACAAAUUCCUCCUCAAAUCACUUUCAGUCGAACGUCAGGCCUGGCCAGCCAGUUUGUAAAGGCUCGUGUCAAUAACCUUCACCGACCAACCACACGACAA